RNAcentral lists this ribosomal RNA (315 nucleotides) under uncultured Glomus. Its description in RNAcentral is "SSU rRNA". It matches the Rfam family "Eukaryotic small subunit ribosomal RNA", at positions 569 to 887 of the family's 1831-position model. Lineage: Eukaryota; Fungi; Glomeromycota; Glomeromycetes; Glomerales; Glomeraceae. The record is from RNAcentral.
AGCAGCCGCGGUAAUUCCAGCUCCAAUAGCGUAUAUUAAAGUUGUUGCAGUUAAAAAGCUCGUAGUUGAAUUUCGGGAUCAAUAUUUCGGUCAUGCCGUUGGUAUGCACUGUUAUCAUUGAUUUCUCACCUUCUAAAGAACCGUAAUGCCAUUAAUUUGGUGUUACGGGGAAUUAGGACUGUUACCUUGAAAAAAUUAGAGUGUUUAAAGCAGGCUCACGCUUGAAUACAUUAGCAUGGAAUAAUGAAAUAGGACAUCCGAUUCUAUUUUGUUGGUUUCUAGGAUCGAUGUAAUGAUUAAUAGGGAUAGUUGGGG